RNAcentral lists this ribosomal RNA (521 nucleotides) under uncultured bacterium. RNAcentral's name for it is "bacterial SSU rRNA". It matches the Rfam family "Bacterial small subunit ribosomal RNA", at positions 57 to 571 of the family's 1533-position model. The record is from RNAcentral.
GCAAGUCGAGGGGUAACGGAAGUAGCUUGCUACUAGACGACGACCGGCGCACGGGUGAGUAACGCGUAUGUAAUCUGCCUUGUACAGAGGGAUAGCCCAGAGAAAUUUGGAUUAAUACCUCAUAGUAUUACUGGAUCGCAUGAUUUGGUAAUUAAAGCUCCGGCGGUACAAGAUGAACAUGCGUGACAUUAGCUAGUUGGUAAGGUAACGGCUUACCAAGGCUACGAUGUCUAGGGGUUCUGAGAGGAUGAUCCCCCACACUGGUACUGAGACACGGACCAGACUCCUACGGGAGGCAGCAGUGAGGAAUAUUGGUCAAUGGACGCAAGUCUGAACCAGCCAUCCCGCGUGAAGGAUGACUGCCCUAUGGGUUGUAAACUUCUUUUAUAUGCAAAUAAACCUACUUUCGUGAAAGUAGCUGAAGGUAGCAUAUGAAUAAACACCGGCUAACUCCGUGCCAGCAGCCGCGGUAAUACGGAGGGUGUAAGCGUNAUCCGGAUUUAUUGGGUUUAAAGGGUACG